UCAGACGAUGCGUCAUGCAUAUCAAUAAGCGGAGGAAAAGAAACUAACAAGGAUUCCCCUAGUAACGGCGAGUGAAGCGGGAAGAGCUCAAAUUUGAAAUCUUAAAGGGUUUCCCUUUACGAAUUGUAGUUUAAAGAAGUGUUUUCUGUUGAGGUUUUGGUAAAAGUUCUUUGGAAUAGGACAUCAUAGAGGGUGAGAAUCCCGUAUUUGACCUUUACUUUCAACUUUGUGAUACACUUUCAAAGAGUCGGAUUGUUUGGGAAUGCAGUCCAAAAUGGGUGGUAAAUUUCAUCUAAAGCUAAAUAUUGGCGAGAGACCGAUAGCGAACAAGUACCGUGAGGGAAAGAUGAAAAGAACUUUGAAAAGAGAGUUAAACAGUACGUGAAAUUGUCAAAAGGGAAGCGUUUGACACCAGUGUUGUUUUUCUGAAAAUCAAUUAAGGAACUGUUUAUGCUAAGCUGUUUAGACUUUAUCAGCUAUCUGUUUAGUUUUGAGCUUUUCUUUAAUGCACUUUUCAGUUAACAAGUCAACAUCAAUUUCUUUUGCUGUAAAAAAGCUUGAGGAAGGUGGCUUGAGAUUCGUCUUAAGUGUUUAUAGCCUCUUGCCUAUGCAGUCGGAGAGAUUGAGGUCUGCAGCGUAGAUCCUUCGGGGCUAAAUGCAUCUGUGCUAAGUUAUAGCAUUUUAUAGACAACUUGUUGACUAUGAUUUGUCUUGUAGCUUACUCGCUUAUGUUAUUUUACCUACGCUUAGGAUGUUGACACACGCGCGUGCUCGA
This 775-nucleotide ribosomal RNA is filed under the name uncultured Neocallimastigales. RNAcentral's name for it is "partial large subunit ribosomal RNA". It matches the Rfam family "Eukaryotic large subunit ribosomal RNA", at positions 18 to 644 of the family's 3401-position model. The record is from RNAcentral. Lineage: Eukaryota; Fungi; Neocallimastigomycota; Neocallimastigomycetes; Neocallimastigales.